RNAcentral lists this ribosomal RNA (479 nucleotides) under uncultured bacterium. Its description in RNAcentral is "SSU rRNA". It matches the Rfam family "Bacterial small subunit ribosomal RNA", at positions 26 to 518 of the family's 1533-position model. The record is from RNAcentral.
AGGACGAACACUGGCGGCGUGCUUAACACAUGCAAGUCGAGCGGUAAGGCCCUUUCGGGGGUACACGAGCGGCGAACGGGUGAGUAACACGUGGGUGACCUGCCCUUAGCUCUGGGAUAAGCCUGGGAAACUGGGUCUAAUACCGAAUACACCUUGCUGGCUGCAUGGCCUGGUGGGGGAAAGCUUUUGCGGUGUGGGAUGGGCCCGCGGCCUAUCAGCUUGUUGGUGGGGUGAUGGCCUACCAAGGCGACGACGGGUAGCCGGCCUGAGAGGGUGUCCGGCCACACUGGGACUGAGAUACGGCCCAGACUCCUACGGGAGGCAGCAGUGGGGAAUAUUGCACAAUGGGCGCAAGCCUGAUGCAGCGACGCCGCGUGAGGGAUGACGGCCUUCGGGUUGUAAACCUCUUUCAGUAUCGACGAAGCGCAAGUGACGGUAGGUACAGAAGAAGCACCGGCCAACUACGUGCCAGCAGCCGC